GCAUAUCAAUAAGCGAGAAAAGGAAACUAACCAGGAUUUCCCCUAGUAACUGCGAAGUGAAGCGGGAAGAAGCUCAAAUUUAAAAUCUGGCAGUCUUUGAUUGUCCGAGUUGUAAUUUAGAGAAGUGUUACCCGCGCCGGACCGUGUACAAGUCUCCUGGAAGGGAGCAUCAUAGAGGGUGAGAAUCCCGUCUUUGACAUGGACUACCGGGGCUUUGUGGUAUGCUCUCAAAGAGUCGAGUUGUUUGGGAAUGCAGCUCUAAAUGGGUGGUAAAUUCCAUCUAAAGCUAAAUAUUGGCGAGAGACCGAUAGCGAACAAGUACCGUGAGGGAAAGAUGAAAAGAACUUUGGAAAGAGAGUUAAACAGUACGUGAAAUUGCUGAAAGGGAAACGCUUGAAGUCAGUCGCAUUAGCUGGGGAUCAACCUUUCUUUUGAUUGGUGUACUUCCUAGUUGAUGGGUCAACAUCAGUUUUGACUGUUAGAUAAAGGUUGGGGGAAUGUGGCAUCUUCGGAUGUGUUAUAGCCCUUGAUUGUAUAUAACAGUUGGGACUGAGGAAUUCAGCACGCCGCAAGGCCGGGUUUUUAACCACGUACGUGCUUAGGAUGUUGACAUAAUGGCUUUAAUCGACCCGUCUUGAAACACGGACCAAGGAGUCUAACAUGCCUGCGAGUAUUUGGGUGUAAAACCCAUGUGCGUAAUGAAAGUGAAAGUUGAGAACUCUGUCAUGGAGUGCAUCGACGCCCAGCCCAGACCUUUUGUGACGGAGCUGCGGUAGAGCAUGUAUGUUGGGACCCGAAAGAUGGUGAACUAUGCCUGAAUAGGGUGAAAGCCAGAGGAAACUCUGGUGGAGGCUCGUAGCGAUUCUGACGUGCAAAUCGAUCGUCGAAUUUGGGUAUAGGGGGCGAAAGACUAAUCGAACCAUCUAGUAGCUGGUUCCUGCGA
RNAcentral lists this ribosomal RNA (943 nucleotides) under Chondrostereum purpureum. RNAcentral describes it as "LSU rRNA". It matches the Rfam family "Eukaryotic large subunit ribosomal RNA", at positions 38 to 963 of the family's 3401-position model. The record is from RNAcentral. Lineage: Eukaryota; Fungi; Basidiomycota; Agaricomycetes; Agaricales; Cyphellaceae.